This 254-nucleotide ribosomal RNA is filed under the name uncultured bacterium. Its description in RNAcentral is "partial 16S ribosomal RNA". It matches the Rfam family "Bacterial small subunit ribosomal RNA", at positions 524 to 776 of the family's 1533-position model. The record is from RNAcentral.
UACGUAGGGUGCGAGCGUUAAUCGGAAUUACUGGGCGUAAAGCGUGCGCAGGCGGUUAUUUAAGUCAGGUGUGAAAGCCCUGGGCUUAACCUAGGAAUUGCGCUUGAGACUGGAUAGCUUGGAGUGCGGCAGAGGGAGGUGGAAUUCCACGUGUAGCAGUGAAAUGCGUAGAGAUGUGGAGGAACACCGAUGGCGAAGGCAGCCUCCUGGGCCAGCACUGACGCUCGUGCACGAAAGCGUGGGGAGCGAACAGG